Molecule: ribosomal RNA, 207 nt
Filed under: uncultured Turicibacter sp.
Lineage: Bacteria; Bacillati; Bacillota; Erysipelotrichia; Erysipelotrichales; Turicibacteraceae
Description: partial 16S ribosomal RNA
Rfam family: Bacterial small subunit ribosomal RNA
Source: RNAcentral
CGCGCAGGUGGUUGAUUAAGUCUGAUGUGAAAGCCCACGGCUUAACCGUGGAGGGUUAUUGGAAACUGGUCGACUUGAGUGCAGAAGAGGGAAGUGGAAUUCCAUGUGUAGCGGUGAAAUGCGUAGAGAUAUGGAGGAACACCAGUGGCGAAGGCGGCUUCCUGGUCUGUAACUGACACUGAGGCGCGAAAGCGUGGGGAGCAAACA